Molecule: ribosomal RNA, 445 nt
Filed under: uncultured bacterium
Lineage: Bacteria
Description: partial 16S ribosomal RNA
Rfam family: Bacterial small subunit ribosomal RNA
Source: RNAcentral
GUGAGGAAUAUUGGUCAAUGGGCGAGAGCCUGAACCAGCCAAGUCGCGUGCAGGAAGAAUGUCCUAUGGAUUGUAAACUGCUUUUGCAGGGGAAUAAAGUUCAGCACGUGUGCUGUUUUGUAUGUACUCUGCGAAUAAGGAUCGGCUAACUCCGUGCCAGCAGCCGCGGUAAUACGGAGGAUCCGAGCGUUAUCCGGAUUUAUUGGGUUUAAAGGGUGCGUAGGCGGCCUGUUAAGUCAGGGGUGAAAUACGGCAGCUCAACUGUCGCAGUGCCCUUGAUACUGACGGGCUUGAAUACCGGUGAAGGCGGCGGAAUGAGACAAGUAGCGGUGAAAUGCAUAGAUAUUACACAGAACUCCGAUUGCGAAGGCAUCUUACUAAGCUGAAACUGACACUGAUGUACGAAAGCGUGGGGAUCGAACAGGAUUAGAUACCCGUGUAGUCC